This 390-nucleotide ribosomal RNA is filed under the name uncultured microorganism. Its description in RNAcentral is "bacterial SSU rRNA". It matches the Rfam family "Archaeal small subunit ribosomal RNA", at positions 330 to 725 of the family's 1478-position model. The record is from RNAcentral.
GUGCAGCAGGCGAGAAUACUUUACAAUGUGCGAAAGCACGAUAAGGGAACUCUGAGUGCCUCCUAAGGAGGCUGUUCAGGUGUCUAAAAGCACCUGAAGGAAGGGCUGGGUAAGACCGGUGCCAGCCGCCGCGGUAACACCGGCAGCCCAAGUGGUAGCCACGUUUAUUGGGUCUAAAGCGUCCGUAGCCGGCUGGGUAAGUUCCUUGGGAAAUUUGGCUGCUUAACAGUCAAGCUUUCAGGGAAUACUGCCCGGCUUGGGGACCGGGAGAGGUCAGAGGUACUCCAGGGGUAGGGGUGAAAUCCAUUAAUCCUUGGGGGACCACCGGUAGCGAAGGCGUCUGACCAGACCGGGUCCGACGGUGAGGGACGAAGGCUAGGGGCGCGAACC